Molecule: ribosomal RNA, 462 nt
Filed under: Klebsiella pneumoniae
Lineage: Bacteria; Pseudomonadati; Pseudomonadota; Gammaproteobacteria; Enterobacterales; Enterobacteriaceae
Description: bacterial SSU rRNA
Rfam family: Bacterial small subunit ribosomal RNA
Source: RNAcentral
CAGAGAUGGAUUGGUGCCUUCGGGAACUGUGAGACAGGUGCUGCAUGGCUGUCGUCAGCUCGUGUUGUGAAAUGUUGGGUUAAGUCCCGCAACGAGCGCAACCCUUAUCCUUUGUUGCCAGCGGUUAGGCCGGGAACUCAAAGGAGACUGCCAGUGAUAAACUGGAGGAAGGUGGGGAUGACGUCAAGUCAUCAUGGCCCUUACGACCAGGGCUACACACGUGCUACAAUGGCAUAUACAAAGAGAAGCGACCUCGCGAGAGCAAGCGGACCUCAUAAAGUAUGUCGUAGUCCGGAUUGGAGUCUGCAACUCGACUCCAUGAAGUCGGAAUCGCUAGUAAUCGUAGAUCAGAAUGCUACGGUGAAUACGUUCCCGGGCCUUGUACACACCGCCCGUCACACCAUGGGAGUGGGUUGCAAAAGAAGUAGGUAGCUUAACCUUCGGGAGGGCGCUUACCACUUU